RNAcentral lists this ribosomal RNA (440 nucleotides) under uncultured bacterium. RNAcentral describes it as "partial 16S ribosomal RNA". It matches the Rfam family "Bacterial small subunit ribosomal RNA", at positions 338 to 795 of the family's 1533-position model. The record is from RNAcentral.
CCUACGGGUGGCAGCAGUGGGGGAUAUUGCACAAUGGGGGAAACCCUGAUGCAGCGACGCCGCGUGAGUGAAGAAGUAUUUCGGUAUGUAAAGCUCUAUCAGCAGGGAAGAAAAUGACAGUACCUGACCAAGAAGCCCCGGCUGACUCCGUGCCAGCAGCCGUGGUAAUACGUAGGGGGCCAGCGUUAUCCGGAUUUAUUGGGUGUAAAGGGAGCGUAGUCGGUUAUGUAAGUCUGGAGUGAAAGCCCGGGGCCCAACCCCGGGACUGCUUUGGAAACUGUGUAACUGGAGUACAGGUGGGGCAGGCGGAAUGCCUGGUGUAGCGGUGAAAUGCGUAGAUAUCAGGAGGAACACCGACGGCGAAGGCAGCCUACUGGACUAAAACUGACGUUGAGGCUCGAAAGCGUGGGGAGCAAACAGGAUUAGAUACCCGAGUAGUC